RNAcentral lists this long non-coding RNA (220 nucleotides) under Gossypium barbadense (sea-island cotton). Its description in RNAcentral is "long non-coding RNA (GBAR_LNC007573)". The record is from RNAcentral. Lineage: Eukaryota; Viridiplantae; Streptophyta; Magnoliopsida; Malvales; Malvaceae.
ACAACUCUUGCCGUCCCCUUCUAGCAAAAUAAUUGCUUCUUGUUUGCAAUGAGAUUCGAACCCAAGCUAUCUCUAUUGCCAAGUUACGCCACAUGCCACCAAGCCACAAGGCUUUUUGUGUCAUAAAACACAUGCGAUCACCUAUGAAGCCUAGGUGCCAGUGCUCAGGGUCUUUUAUGAGCAAAAUAAAAAUCUUCAAAAGCCGAAGCUCGAAACCCAG